UAGGGAAUCUUCCGCAAUGGGCGAAAGCCUGACGGAGCAACGCCGCGUGAGUGAUGAAGGUCUUCGGAUCGUAAAACUCUGUUAUUAGGGAAGAACAAAUGUGUAAGUAAGUAUGCACGUCUUGACGGUACCUAAUCAGAAAGCCACGGCUAACUACGUGCCAGCAGCCGCGGUAAUACGUAGGUGGCAAGCGUUAUCCGGAAUUAUUGGGCGUAAAGCGCGCGUAGGCGGUUUUUUAAGUCUGAUGUGAAAGCCCACGGCUCAACCGUGGAGGGUCAUUGGAAACUGGAAAACUUGAGUGCAGAAGAGGAAAGUGGAAUUCCAUGUGUAGCGGUGAAAUGCGCAGAGAUAUGGAGGAACACCAGUGGCGAAGGCGUCUUUCUGGUCUGUAACUGACGCUGAUGUUCGAAAGCGUGGGGAUCAAACAGG
RNAcentral lists this ribosomal RNA (429 nucleotides) under Actinomycetes bacterium. RNAcentral describes it as "Actinobacteria bacterium partial 16S ribosomal RNA". It matches the Rfam family "Bacterial small subunit ribosomal RNA", at positions 355 to 776 of the family's 1533-position model. Lineage: Bacteria; Bacillati; Actinomycetota; Actinomycetes. The record is from RNAcentral.